RNAcentral lists this ribosomal RNA (250 nucleotides) under uncultured bacterium. RNAcentral describes it as "partial 16S ribosomal RNA". It matches the Rfam family "Bacterial small subunit ribosomal RNA", at positions 524 to 773 of the family's 1533-position model. The record is from RNAcentral.
UACGGAGGGGGCCAGCGUUGUUCGGAAUCAUUGGGCGUAAAGGGCGCGUAGGCGGCCACGCCAGUCGGCUGUGAAAUCCCUCGGCUCAACCGAGGAACUGCGGCCGAUACUGCGUGGCUUGAGUCCCGGAGAGGGUAGUGGAAUUCCCAGUGUAGCGGUGAAAUGCGUAGAUAUUGGGAGGAACACCGGUGGCGAAGGCGGCUACCUGGACGGGUACUGACGCUGAUGCGCGAAAGCCAGGGGAGCAAAC